UCCGGUGUGGUGUAUCGGUAACAUAUCCGCCUCUCAUGGUUCUUAACCUUGCUUUCUGACGCGGUUGCGCGGGGUUCGAUUCCCCGCACCGGAA
Roridomyces roridus is the source of this 94-nucleotide non-coding RNA. NCBI's taxonomy places the organism in Eukaryota, Fungi, Basidiomycota, Agaricomycetes, Agaricales, Mycenaceae. The record is from the annotation of a GenBank genome assembly.